CGGGGUGAGUAAUGCUUGGGAAUCUAGCUUAUGGAGGGGGAUAACUACGGGAAACUGUAGCUAAUACCGCGUAGAAUCGGGAGAUGAAAGUGUGGGACCUUCGGACCACAUGCCAUAGGAUGAGCCCAAGUGGGAUUAGGUAGUUGGUGAGGUAAAGGCUCACCAAGCCGACGAUCUCUAGCUGGUCUGAGAGGAUGACCAGCCACACUGGGACUGAGACACGGCCCAG
This 229-nucleotide ribosomal RNA is filed under the name uncultured bacterium. RNAcentral's name for it is "partial 16S ribosomal RNA". It matches the Rfam family "Bacterial small subunit ribosomal RNA", at positions 104 to 334 of the family's 1533-position model. The record is from RNAcentral.